This 68-nucleotide transfer RNA is filed under the name Beta vulgaris subsp. vulgaris (sugar beet). It matches the Rfam family "tRNA". From Rfam's summary of the family: Transfer RNA (tRNA) molecules are approximately 80 nucleotides in length. Their secondary structure includes four short double-helical elements and three loops (D, anti-codon, and T loops). The record is from Rfam by way of RNAcentral. Lineage: Eukaryota; Viridiplantae; Streptophyta; Magnoliopsida; Caryophyllales; Amaranthaceae.
AACCUAUUAGCCUAAAUGGAAGAGCAUGUGCUAUACGCAAGAUGUGGGUUCGAUUCCCACAUGGGCUA